AUUGAACGCUGGCGGCGUGCCUAACACAUGCAAGUCGAGCGAAGUUAUUCCUUCGGGAAUAACUUAGCGACGGACGGGUGAGUAACACGUGGGUAACCUGCCUUAUAGAGGGGGAUAGCCUUCCGAAAGGAAGAUUAAUACAGCAUAACAUCAAACUUUCGCAUGGAAGUUUGAUCAAAGGAGUAAUCCGCUAUAAGAUGGACCCGCGGCGCAUUAGCUAGUUGGUGAGGUAACGGCUCACCAAGGCGACGAUGCGUAGCCGACCUGAGAGGGUGAUCGGCCACAUUGGGACUGAGACACGGCCCAGACUCCUACGGGAGGCAGCAGUGGGGAAUAUUGCACAAUGGGGGAAACCCUGAUGCAGCAACGCCGCGUGAGUGAUGAAGGCCUUCGGGUUGUAAAGCUCUGUCUUUGGGGACGAUAAUGACGGUACCCAAGGAGGAAGCCACGGCUAACUACGUGCCAGCAGCCGCAGUAA
Molecule: ribosomal RNA, 478 nt
Filed under: uncultured bacterium
Lineage: Bacteria
Description: partial 16S ribosomal RNA
Rfam family: Bacterial small subunit ribosomal RNA
Source: RNAcentral